This 1406-nucleotide unclassified non-coding RNA is filed under the name Hevea brasiliensis (rubber tree). Lineage: Eukaryota; Viridiplantae; Streptophyta; Magnoliopsida; Malpighiales; Euphorbiaceae. The record is from RNAcentral.
CCGAAAUGCAAUGAAGAAUUGAUAUCACGAAUCCCGAAAUUCAAUGAAGAAUUGAUAUCAUACAUUCAGCUCCACUGCUUAGCUAAAUUAUAGUACAACCAUACUGUAAGGAUGAAGAGUAUACAACAACAUCACCUCUGCAAAGCCUAUGUAAGGGUAGUAAUCAGAAAAAUUUCAGAGCAGCUACAUUUCCUGCUAGCCUCUUAGCCAGAAUCAUCUGAAUAACUCCCCCUUCUCCGCACAAUCAUUUUUACCUUGUCAAGCUCAGCUUCUUCAUCUCCCUCCUCAGCGCGUUCGCCCUCACCAAACUACCGAUCGUGUUCACCGCAAGCUUAAUAUCCUCUAUCGGAUUCCCAGGUUUGACUUCCUUGUACAGAUAGCUAUCGAAGGUCAUCUUCUGUACAUACUCGUCAGCACACAUCUCCACAAAUGCCUCCCUUGCGGGGUUGGAUCGGUAGAACACCUUCUGCAGCACGUCCAACACUUUGUAUGUCGGCCAGUAUGCUUUAUCGAACUUCGCCAAGUACUUCUUCAAGUCACUUUCAUCGAUCAUUCGCUUGCCAUUUUCGGAUCCCUCCACAAUUGCCUCAGCACACAUCCGGCCACUCUUUGCUGCAAAGUAAAUUCCCUCGCCAGAGCACUUGGUCACGUAUCCAGCUGCGUCUCCAACGAGUGCGACCCGCCCGGAAGAUCUGCGAGGUCGGGGAUGCUCCGGUAUUGGAUGGGCCUCCACCCGAAUAAUCUUCCCACCCUCAAUCUUAUCCUUCGCCCUCAACCUCGUCGCCGCCUGAAACUUCUUAAUCUCAGUCUUAUGUGUCACCGUCCCCGUCCCGACUGCUACAUGGUCGCAUUUCGGAAACACCCACCCAUAGAAAUCCGGCGAAACAUCAUCCCCGACAUACAUCUCUGCCAAGUCCUUAUAGUACUCCAUCUUACUCUCCGAAAUCCUCACCCUCUCCUGAAAAGCAAUAGCAUAAUCAUAGCUGCCGGCAUCAAUGGACUUUGCAACACGCGAAUUUGCGCCAUCGGCGCCAAUGACUGCAUCGACUUCAACCGUGCGCUUCUCUCCGGCGGGACCGCCGUUGAGGUUGUAGUGGAUGGUGUAGGGGGCGAUGGGGUUGGUGGGAAUGUCCAUACGAAGAAAAAGUCCGUUUAAGACAGUUGCACCAGCUGCGGCUGCGCGUUCACGAAGGUGGGCAUCGAGGACCUCACGUCGGACCAUGCCGAUGUACUCAUGGGGCUUGAGGGUGCGACCGAUGUCGACAGCGACAUUGGAGGGAGAUAUCAUCUUCAUCUUGGUUACUCGGCGAUCGAUGAUGUCGAGGAGCUGCCGCCGAAACCCUCGCCCGCGGCGGCAUCGACACCAUCCUCAUCGAGCGAAAGCUCGACAACUGCAAGCCCUGCGG